RNAcentral lists this ribosomal RNA (253 nucleotides) under uncultured bacterium. RNAcentral's name for it is "partial 16S ribosomal RNA". It matches the Rfam family "Bacterial small subunit ribosomal RNA", at positions 524 to 776 of the family's 1533-position model. The record is from RNAcentral.
UACGGGGGGGGCAAGCGUUGUCCGGAAUUACUGGGCGUAAAGGGCUCGUAGGUGGCCACCUAAGUCAGACGUGAAAUCCCUCGGCUUAACCGGGGAACUGCGUCUGAUACUGGAUGGCUUGAGUUUGGGAGAGGGACGCGGAAUUCCAGGUGUAGCGGUGAAAUGCGUAGAUAUCUGGAGGAACACCGGUGGCGAAGGCGGCGUCCUGGACCAACACUGACACUGAGGAGCGAAAGCCAGGGGAGCAAACGGG